AACGGAGGGUGCAAGCGUUGUUCGGAAUUACUGGGCGUAAAGCGCUCGUAGGCUGGACAGGAAGUUGGGUGUGAAAGCCCUCGGCUCAACCGAGGAAUUGCGCCCAAAACCACUGUCCUUGAGAAUCGGAGAGGAUCGGGGAAUUCCCAGUGUAGAGUUGAAAUUCGUAGAUAUUGGGAGGAACACCGGUUGCGAAGGCGCUGAUCUGGACGAUCUCUGACGCUGAGGAGCGAAAGCAUGGGUAGCAAACAGG
This 253-nucleotide ribosomal RNA is filed under the name uncultured bacterium. RNAcentral describes it as "partial 16S ribosomal RNA". It matches the Rfam family "Bacterial small subunit ribosomal RNA", at positions 524 to 776 of the family's 1533-position model. The record is from RNAcentral.